Molecule: RNA transcript, 4866 nt
Organism: Oncorhynchus tshawytscha (Chinook salmon)
Lineage: Eukaryota; Metazoa; Chordata; Actinopteri; Salmoniformes; Salmonidae
Gene name: serine/threonine-protein phosphatase 2A 56 kDa regulatory subunit gamma isoform
Exons: 15
Source: RefSeq, a predicted model, not a curated record
GCUGACAUCACUAACUAGCCAGUUCCCUCCAGCAGCACCAGAGAGCUUCAUUUUCGGAUCUGCUUUUGUGUUAAAAUGGAGGCUGGCUCCUUGCCUUAAGUGGAUUGCCUUCCUGGUCGAGUUUAGAUGUUGACAUGCACUAAAGCUGGAAUCAGGAUGGUUGUGGAUGCACCUAAUUCCAAUGGGCCUUUCCAGCCAGUGGCUCUUAUGCACUUCAGAGACUGUGCUCCAGCGGAGCAGGAGAAGCUGUUUGUGCAGAAGCUGCGCCAGUGUUGCAUGCUCUUUGACUUCCUGUCGGACCCACUAAGUGACCUGAAAUGGAAGGAGGUGAAGCGUGCGGCGCUGAGCGAGAUGGUCGAGUACAUCACCCACAACAGGAACGUCAUCACAGAGCCCAUCUACCCAGAGGUGGUGCACAUGUUUAUGGUGAACAUGUUCCGAACGUUGCCUCCGUCAUCCAACCCCACAGGAGCAGAGUUUGACCCGGAGGAGGACGAGCCUACACUUGAGGCUGCUUGGCCACAUCUCCAGCUCGUCUACGAAUUUUUCCUUCGGUUUUUAGAAUCUCCUGACUUUCAACCGAACAUAGCAAAGAAGUACAUCGACCAAAAAUUUGUGAUGCAGCUUUUAGACCUGUUUGACAGUGAGGACCCACGGGAGAGGGACUUCCUCAAAACCACUCUCCACAGGAUCUAUGGGAAAUUCCUGGGACUACGGGCCUACAUCAGAAAACACAUCAAUAAUAUAUUUUAUAGGUUUAUCUAUGAGACUGAGCACCAUAAUGGAAUAGCAGAAUUACUGGAGAUACUCGGAAGUAUAAUCAAUGGGUUUGCCUUACCACUAAAAGAGGAGCACAAGAUUUUCCUGUUAAAGGUCCUUUUGCCUUUGCACAAAGUCAAAUCACUUAGUGUCUACCAUCCACAGCUGGCAUACUGUGUUGUGCAAUUUCUAGAGAAGGACAGCACUCUCACUGAACCAGUGGUAAUGGCCCUUCUCAAAUACUGGCCAAAGACUCACAGCCCCAAAGAGGUGAUGUUCCUCAAUGAGCUGGAGGAGAUUCUGGAUGUCAUUGAGCCGUCUGAGUUCGUCAAGGUCAUGGAGCCACUCUUCAGGCAGCUGGCAAAGUGUGUGUCCAGCCCGCACUUCCAGGUAGCAGAGAGAGCUCUGUACUACUGGAACAAUGAGUACAUCAUGAGUCUAAUCAGCGACAAUGCAGCCAAAAUCCUGCCCAUCAUGUUCCCGGCACUCUACCGUAACUCCAAGACCCACUGGAACAAGACCAUCCAUGGCCUCAUCUACAACGCUCUCAAGCUCUUCAUGGAGAUGAACCAGAAGCUGUUUGAUGACUGCACACAGCAGUUCAGAGCAGAGAAAAAUAAUGGUCCUCGACGGUAAAAACAACACAAUGAUUAAAAGGUAAGACACAAUUACAAACAACCAUAAAUACAUUAAUUUAUAUUGACAUCCUUAAAGUGGCACUUUUCCCUAACCUUAAAAAUCAACCAUAUUAAUUGCACAUCAUACCGAUCCUUCAAAUAAAUACACCUGACCAGCAGUAGGGGGCACAAGGGGCAGUGGAGUAGUUUCUCUUACUUAGACAACCUUUUCCAAAUGUAAAACUUUUUAAAGUCAUUUGUACUUUUUCUUUGCUUGAUCUCUAGGGGUAGGCUACUCCAUAGACAAAUGCCUGCAUAGAAAAACGUGCUCCUCGCAGUACUGAUUACUCUUGGGAUUUUACAAGACAUAACACUAGAUGAUAAUGUUGACAUUUUGUCUUUUUUGUCCUAUAGAGAAAAGGCCAAGUCAAAAGAGAGGGAAGAGGCCUGGCUCAAGAUUGAGAACCUUGCCAAAUCCAAUCCACAUUGUGCUAAUGUGGAUAUUGGAUCAGAGUCCUAGUGAAAGUUCACAGGUUAAAAAAGACAGUAACGGAAGAAUCCACUCAGUUACAACAAAGAGGCCAGAGAAAAGACCAUCCUCUGGUGCAGCGCGAGUCGGAUCUCCCUCAGGACAUCUACACCGCAAAAGCCUUGGAGACCCAUCGCCGCGCCGAUGACAUGAUCACCACCCACAAUGGGCUCUAGGUCUCCCCCUCCUCUCUCUUCUCUUCUGUCCAGUCCCCUAAAGGAGUACCCUCGCCCCUCCACACCCCACCUCCCAACCCACACAGCACAUUCAGAAUACUGGCCCGGUUUCCCUAUCUCGCCAGUACACUGCCCCACCUCCCUCGGAUUUCUGCUUUCUCUGGUGUAUAUUUUGGGGGGAGGGGUGGGGCCGCAACUCUUUUAGCUGUCGGUCCUGCGGAGUCAUUGUUUUCCUUAUUGUUUCCGCUGAAUUGUGCAUAAAACAGUAUAUCGGCUCAUCCCUCCCUGCUCUUAUUGUAUGAAUGAAAAUGGGGACGUUUCGUUCCACCUGCGACAUGAAAUGUGAAAUGCACAACAAACGUAGAGAGCAGAAACUAAAUGAGGGAGACUUCUUUUCUUCUUCUGUCUUCUGUUUUCUGUCAAGGGGAAACAACCAAAAACAGAUGGUUAGAUGGAGGGGUAGGACUGUUGGAUUGACUUUCCAGACUUUAUUUUUAUCCCAGGGACAUCUGCCAGUGCCAAAACCAUUUGUGUACUUUUUUUUGUUUCUGCGUCUAUUUUUCUCUCUGUGAUUUUUAACAAGGGCGACUAGCUAGGUAGAGCCUGCGUUGUUUGCCUUCAUUUUUUUGGCCUCAGAUGUUUUGACAAUUGUUUUUAAUAAGCUGAAGAGCAACAGGGCUGUCUAAAGUGACAUCCAUCUGUUCUGAUGAAGUCACAUUGUGACAGGGAUUGAGAGAGGGAGGAAGGGAUGUUCUCUGUGCACACUAGACUCUUUACACUCUACAGUUUGUGCCAUAUAAAAGUUGUAUUUUGUCUUAUUUCCUUUCUCAUACCCAUCUGAAUUCCAUCUGCAAUAUGUGAGCUGGAAAUUUCACAGUGAAAUUAUUGACAGAAAUAUUGACAGUUCAAACAAUGGUACAAACAAUGGUUUAUUUCAUAUAGAGAAACACAUUGGGUGGUUGUUAGUUUCCACCCUGUUUGUCAUACUCAAAAGCCCCUCUUAGACAUUUCAACAUCUGUAGCCAGUUUUUACUGGAAUCACAUUAUGACACCUUACCUGGGGGUAUCACAUAAUGAGUAGUUAUUUGGGAUGCAAGAUGAUUUGUAGAUCAGUGUUUCUGCACAGCCUGACUGCAAUCUAGUCCAUCUUAAAUGCAUACCCCACUGGGCACACACUGGUUGAAUCAAUGUUUCCAUGUAAUUUCAAUGAAAUGAAGUUGAACCAAUGUGGAAUAGACAUUGAGUUGAUGAUCCAGGCUUCAGCAGUCCUGGAGCUACUUGCUAGUCAAGCAUUGACCUCCAUUCGUUUCAGAGGUACCCAUGAUAUCACAUGUCGUGUUCAUCUCGUACCCCCCCAACAUGCUCACUAUUCCCCUGUUGUUUUUUACAUUUUUACCACCACCCUCUUAUCCAGAUGUGCUUCUCUGUGGAGCUGAAUGGACUGUUACUAAGCAAAGAACAAAACAAAUUAUUCACUUCCAUAAGACAUCCUUUUCGAGGACAUCGGAGUGCCUUUUAUCAUGAGGAGGAAUAUGAAAUAAUUUUUGGCCCCAAUGAGGAGAAUAGCAACACUGUUUGGAUGGGAAAACCAUUUCAUGUGACGGUUAAAUGGGCAUAUGUGUCCAUUGCCAAUAAUAUAUACUGAUUCACAGGCACAUUCACAGAGAUAGUAGAGACCGAGCAGUGAUUCCAGACCUGAAUAACUCUUGGAAGUAGAUGAAUCGUGUAGUUGUUAAGAAAAAGUAUAUUGAACUACCUAAAAAGCACUUCCUGAAAACUUGAAAGAUGUGACAUGUUUGUGUAUAUUCAAAUGAAGCUCUGUAUCCCGUUGAGUAUAUAUGUACAGUCUAUUCUGCUUUGUCAAGUCAGGAAGCUGUCAAUUCCAGGAGUGUUUUGGACAUUAACAUUUACAAGUGGGUCGUCUCUUGAACCAUUGUUUGAACUUCCAAAUCUAGCAUGGGUAUACAAUCUGUAAUGUGUUUUGUGUUGUCCCUGGUAACUUAUAGCCUGGAUGCUAGUUUUAGCAUUGUAGCUGCCAAUGGAAAUGGCCAAUGCUAAAACAGACAGAUCGAGGCUUGGCAACUGUAUUAUUCAUAUUUGCUUGAAUGGAAAAGGUGUACAUUUAUACAACCAAUGUUAAACAUGUAUUUUUUUCCCCUGGAAGAAUGGCACUCACCAAAACAAUUUAUAUCCUAAAAGAAUAUAUUUGCUUUUUAUUUAACGGUAUUGGUUUAAGAUAUUUUUUCAAUUUGCAUUUUGUUUGUGUUCGAACUGUUGUUUUUGUGUAGACCCAUAGGUAAAUGACUCGUAAAACAAGUUAGACGGGGAAAAAAAUGUUGGUGACUGUUUUUCUAAAUUCUUUGCUUGACCGCAGCAUCUUUGCAGGAUUUUAGUUGAACAUGUACUUUACAAAAUAUAAUAACUUGACAAGUGUCCUUUUGUAUGUGACCUGUACUAUAUGGCUUCAUUUAAUAUUGUGUACAUAUGAUUUACUUUGUUUUAUGUAGUGUUAUAGAUCUAGAUUUUGUACAAAAUGGUCCUCUGUACAGAAUAAAACAUCAAUAGCAAUGACAAGAAGUCAAUGUGGCACAUACAUUCUUUUCCUCUUUCACUUGUAACUUUGCAUUAUUAAAUAUGUCAUAAUUGUAUCUGUUUGAACUCUUCAAGGUUUGUUCCCUAUUCAAAAUGUCUUUGACCAGAUUUCAGUCCAUAGCCUUUGAGCUUUUCUCACAGUUUCAAGUGGUGUACAUCUAUAUUGAAUGAAUAAAGAGAAUAUUUGAUUUUA